AGAGUUUGAUCCUGGCUCAGAACGAACGCUGGCGGCAGGCCUAACACAUGCAAGUCGAGCGAGACCUUCGGGUCUAGCGGCGGACGGGUUAGUAACGCGUGGGAACGUGCCCUUUACUACGGAAUAGUCCCGGGAAACUGGGUUUAAUACCGUAUACGCCCUUCGGGGGAAAGAUUUAUCGGUAAAGGAUCGGCCCGCGUUAGAUUAGAUAGUUGGUGGGGUAAUGGCCUACCAAGUCUACGAUCUAUAGCUGGUUUGAGAGGAUGAUCAGCAACACUGGGACUGAGACACGGCCCAGACUCCUACGGGAGGCAGCAGUGGGGAAUCUUGGACAAUGGGCGCAAGCCUGAUCCAGCCAUGCCGCGUGAGUGACGAAGGCCUUAGGGUCGUAAAGCUCUUUCGCCAGGGAUGAUAAUGACAGUACCUGGUAAAGAAACCCCGGCUAACUCCGUGCCAGCAGCCGCGGUAAUACGGAGGGGGUUAGCGUUGUUCGGAAUUACUGGGCGUAAAGCGCACGUAGGCGGACUGGAAAGUUGGGGGUGAAAUCCCGGGGCUCAACCUCGGAACUGCCUCCAAAACUACUAGUCUAGAGUUCGAGAGAGGUGAGUGGAAUUCCGAGUGUAGAGGUGAAAUUCGUAGAUAUUCGGAGGAACACCAGUGGCGAAAGGCGGCUCACUGGCUCGAUACUGACGCUGAGGUGCGAAAGUGUGGGGAGCAAACAGG
Molecule: ribosomal RNA, 723 nt
Filed under: uncultured Donghicola sp.
Lineage: Bacteria; Pseudomonadati; Pseudomonadota; Alphaproteobacteria; Rhodobacterales; Roseobacteraceae
Description: bacterial SSU rRNA
Rfam family: Bacterial small subunit ribosomal RNA
Source: RNAcentral